Molecule: ribosomal RNA, 465 nt
Filed under: uncultured bacterium
Lineage: Bacteria
Description: partial 16S ribosomal RNA
Rfam family: Bacterial small subunit ribosomal RNA
Source: RNAcentral
GACGAACGCUGGCGGCGUGCUUAACACAUGCAAGUCGUACGGUAAGGCCCUUUCGGGGGUACACGAGUGGCGAACGGGUGAGUAACACGUGAGUAACCUGCCCACAACUUUGGGAUAACGCUAGGAAACUGGUGCUAAUACUGGAUAUGUGCUCCUGCUGCAUGGUGGGGGUUGGAAAGCUCCGGCGGUUGGGGAUGGACUCGCGGCCUAUCAGCUUAUUGGUGGGGUAGUGGCCUACCAAGGCGGCGACGGGUAGCCGGCCUGAGAGGGUGACCGGCCACAUUGGGACUGAGAUACGGCCCAGACUCCUACGGGAGGCAGCAGUGGGGAAUAUUGCACAAUGGGCGCAAGCCUGAUGCAGCAACGCCGCGUGCGGGAUGACGGCCUUCGGGUUGUAAACCGCUUUCAGCAGGGACGAAGCUUUUUGUGACGGUACCUGCAGAAGAAGCACCGGCUAACUACGUG